ACAAACGUUAAAUAUAUUGUAAAAUAAUAGGCUAUUCUAAUAGAAGACUAAAUUAAAAUUGAAUUAAAAUAAGCGGGAUAAUUUGAAAAUAGAAGAAAUCCCAAAAUAAGGACCAGCGCGCAACAUGUGCUAAUGCGCAAGGACCAAAUCUGGAAAUAUUCCAGACCCCAAAACGCAGCAUCGAAGCGCGAACCAGAUCGAAUUCAUGCACAAAUUAUAGGAAACAUUUAGAAAUUAAUGAGACACCGUUAUAAGCUAAUUGAAAUGCGGCGCGAAAGGGGAGGGACUUAUAUCGGAAAUAACCCAUUUGAAUCACAAAGGCGCGGGUUUGGGUUCUGGAAUGGGUCGACGCGCGGAUCCCCUCCCCCCUAAACGACGUCGUUUCGUUUUGUUAUCAAAACUAAAAAAAUGAAUGGUAAUCUGCUAUUCUCUUCAGCAAUUGAAUCAAAACCCUAAUCCCUCAUGUUUUUCCUCGCUUGGCCGACAAAAGAACCAAAACCUUAGCCAUUUUGAUUCUCAUCGGAUCUAACCGAAAAACUCACACUCAUCACCAUGACACCACUGUAUUUGAUGAUUGGCGAUGAAUAUAUGCCCCUCUUUUACACCGUUUGAAACCACAACUCGUGGAUUACCGAUUUUAACUUUGAAAUCCCAUAUCAAGCUCCGAUCGCGACGAAGGAGAUAGUGACUCCGACGGUGUAUUUUCGAUGGUAAACCCUUCCUCCUCUGUAUUUUUAUGCGAAAACAAAAAUAUACAGGACAAAAAAAAAGGCAAAUCGCAAAAACUAAAGAAAAAAAAUCACCUUCUAAUUUUUUUGGAUUGCUUUUCUUGUAUUUCGUUUGCCUAUUUUCAAUGUGUGUGUAAAAAAUUUACAAUGGCAGUAUUCUUGGCUUUAUAGCCGAAACAGAGUAAAAACCGAAAAAAGAAAAUACAAAUCGAUUGGUUCUGCCUCUUUGCUGUGCUGUUGUUGUCUGUUUCUUCGCAGGUACGGAGCCCCGUUGGAGCGGUGGUACGUGGCGCUUGGCGUGGGGCGUACGGGGGCUGUGUGCUGGAGGCUGCUGAAGCGUUAGAGGCUAAGGGCUGCGGCGCUAGGAAACCCUAGGUUUCCGUUUGGCUGAACCUAGGUCUAGGUUUUGGGCCAUUGGGCCUUUUAGGCAUUGGGUUAUUUGAUUAGGCUAGGUUGUUUUGUAAAUGGGCUUGUAACUGGGCUAUUGGGUCUGAUAUGUAAUGGACUGAUAAUUAGAUUUUUUAUUAUUUGGUUUUUUUUAUAUUUUGUAUUUUGGUUCUUCUUUGGGCCUAGGCAAAAAUGGCCCAUUACAAUUAUUAUUUUAUUGUAUUCUAAAAAUAAAUGACAUCAAUUUAAACUGAAAGAAUUUCUUUUACUUCAUUUAUUAUGUUGAAAAUAUAAAUUCAAUUUAUUUGAAAAAGGGAGAUGUUUAUAACUGUUUAUAUAUUUUUUAAAAUUUUCAUAAAUUUAUAUUCGUAAAACUCUUUUAUAUUUUUACUUCGUUUAUUAUGAGAUUUGAACUCAA
This 1533-nucleotide long non-coding RNA is filed under the name Gossypium barbadense (sea-island cotton). Its description in RNAcentral is "long non-coding RNA (GBAR_LNC001849)". Lineage: Eukaryota; Viridiplantae; Streptophyta; Magnoliopsida; Malvales; Malvaceae. The record is from RNAcentral.